GUUUUGUUAGAAUUCAUUGUUUGUCUUGGUUAAUCUAGUGAACAACACUGCAGAAUAUGUUGGUGCCAUGUAAAUAAUUUAAUUGUAGCAGUACUGUACUGUAAGGAAGAAUUGGUCAUUUAUUGAGAUAAAGAGAUCACAUUUACAGAUGUCCAAAGGAUAAGAAAUUGGAUUUACUUGCGCUAUCAAAUUCAACAAGUUACUAUAAAAACGGGUUUGUUUUUUUCUACUAAUGCAGGAUAGAUAUCCAAGGAUAUAGUUGUAAAUUGGACACUCCAAGCACCAUAACCAAUAAAGCCUCCCUGUAUUGGUUACGGUGCCAGGACAGCCCUUGCACCCUCCCAGAGUAAGUGGUCAAACCAUUCUAAGCAUACCUAUAUCCUACCAGUCACCCACCGCCUCCUCCCCUCUGCCAAGAAGUUUGCAGUUAGCAUCACUGUGCCAAGCCCGCAUUGUCAGCAGAGCGGUACUGAGGCAAGAGCUACUGGCAGCAGAGGAGGUGGUGGCAUGCACCUGGCACAACCCACGUAAGUUGUCAAAUCAUCGCUAAACUGUUUUACUACUUACUCUUUGAGGGAGUCAGGGCACUCCUAGCACUGUAACCAUUACACUACCAAUUAGUAAUUUAUUACAGGACCAGGAAAAUAUCUAAUUGUGAUUUUGGAGUUUACAAUACAUUUUAUUUAUUUUUAGUGGGUAAUUAAAAUUAAAUUCAGAUUCCAUCGCCUCUUUUUAAACCAGCAGCAGGUGCACAGGAUUGCAAAAUUUUCAACUUCACUGAAUCGUUUUUUCUGUGCCUUAUUUACUUUGUCACUCAGCAUUCACGUCAUCUAAAUUAAUAGUUAGAAUAGCACUAACCUUAGUACUGUUGAAGAUAUGGGACAUUACAUCAGCCUGCUCACCAAAUCUUUCACAGAGUAUCCUACACGGUAUCUGGACGCUGGUGUGUGAUUUGCUGGUGGGUCUUGGGAGAACAGUUUAUUAAGAGUUCUCACCACAUGUAAAGUCAGCUAUGUGGUUUACAGGUUGUAAGUUUGUUAAUAGGUAAGUUGACUCGUUAAAAAUCCCAGGGCCCACACCUAUAUAUUUCUGUAACUUCCGUUGGGUACUUAUUCCACACUUGAACCAUUGAUUGUAAAGCGUUGAGGAAUAAGUUGUCACUAUAAAUGCCAAAAAUAAUUAUGGAUAUUCUGUGGACACGUAUGAAAAUACAUUCUGUGGGGCUGUAUUAGAAUGAUCUCCUUGUUAGUUGACAAGUUACAUAAUUAUUCUACAGUAAAGAGAGACAUAUGGUGUAUUUGUUGUGCCUCCAAUUCUCAGAGACAUCCAACUGUUUCAGUACUAGAUAAUUCCAACAUCUCAGACCAUUGGUGGCUUCUGAGCAUAACUCCUGUGAUCACCAGGGUUUUGUUGACCCGUGUCAAGGAAAGGUCUGCCAUAAACAUUGUGAGACAGCAAAUCUAACGCAUACUGAACCAGAACCACCGCAAGGUGAAAGUAAAGCAGCAUUGUAUGGAGUUAAUUAAGGGGUCUAUUUUUAAAUUCUGGCCUGAAACUCUAAUCAAACUCUAACCCAGCAUGACCAGGUAACUCACAAAGUGAGGUACCUUGUCUCUCCAUAUCGGAUGGAAUCCUAAUUUCUGAAGUUAAAUAAUAAACCAAAACAUAGAUUGGAUUAUUCACUAUACUGAAAAUUGACAAAGCACUGUAGA
Molecule: non-coding RNA, 1712 nt
Organism: Pelobates cultripes (western spadefoot toad)
Lineage: Eukaryota; Metazoa; Chordata; Amphibia; Anura; Pelobatidae
Source: the annotation of a GenBank genome assembly